This is a non-coding RNA of Pelobates cultripes (western spadefoot toad), 276 nucleotides long. The record is from the annotation of a GenBank genome assembly. Lineage: Eukaryota; Metazoa; Chordata; Amphibia; Anura; Pelobatidae.
GGGAUGGGGUGACUAGUGACAGAGUGAGGAAGGGGGUGACUAGGGACAGAGGGGGUGAUUAGUGACAGAGUUAGGGAGGGAGUGACUAGUGACAGAGGGAUGGGGUGACUAGUGACAGUCACCCCCUCCCUCACUCUGUCACUAAUCACUACCUCCCUCUGUCACUAGUCACUACCUCCCUCUGUCACUAGUCACUACCUCCCUCUGUCACUAGUCACUCCCUCACUCUGUCACCAGUCAUCCCCUCACUCUGUCACUAGUCACCUCUUCCCUCCC